RNAcentral lists this long non-coding RNA (1200 nucleotides) under Brassica napus (rape). Its description in RNAcentral is "long non-coding RNA (BNAP_LNC022654)". The record is from RNAcentral. Lineage: Eukaryota; Viridiplantae; Streptophyta; Magnoliopsida; Brassicales; Brassicaceae.
GAAACCAAAGCAAAACGUGGCUAGAGAGAGAGAGAGAGAGAGAAAGAAGUAAGGUGCUUUAGAAGUAUAGACAUUUCCAAAGACCGAUAAACUGCCGGGAAAUUCUGAAAAACUGUCUAGAAGUGAAGAAUUUUUUUUCAGAGUUCUGAUCAGUCCAGACCAGUCCACUUAAGACAUCGACGUUGGGUUUUGGGAUUUAACAUCACGGUACCAAGACGAAGAUUUGGAGGGGAUAAAAGGGGUUUGGUCAACAUCUGGAAUCAAAGAGUCGAGCCACAUCGCUUAAUCACUGUGAGUCACGGUUAACUGAUUGUUAACGAAUUAUUAAUGCAGGUUCUCGACAUCGGAGACGGCUUCCGAGCUAGGAUAGCCGGACCGGUCUAGGUGUCAGUUUGUGGAUCCGAGGCUUGAGACGAUGUCUGGGCUAAGUGGAAAGCAAGACUAGUCUAAGCACCCGGAUUAUUGUGAUUGUGUGAUUAUUAUAUAUUGUUAUAGUGUGUACCUCAUGUUGGUACUGUUGUGUGAGAACCUCGUGGUGGUUCUAGUAGUAGUUUGCAGGUCAUUGCUUCCUCAAAUGGUACCACUAAGCCAGUCGUGGUCCGGAAAGUGGUGGGCUCGGUUUAACUUGGCUUGAUCACCAAGGCCGAGUGUCACACGUGGAUGUGACAGUCCCCGGCGAGUCCGAUAGAGGACCGGGGUACGGCGAUUCCGAUUGAGGACCGUGACCGGGCGAUUCCCGAGCGCCUACACCUAUGUGGUGUAAUAGUGAAGGGAUGGCCGGUGUCCUUUAUGGGAGGAAGAAUGAUUCUGUUGGGCCCUAGGAGUAUAUAUAUAUAUGGUUGAUUGAUGUGACACUCAUAAAGACUGUUUUAAUUUAUUAUGGUUUAAUUGUUUAGUGCUUAAUCAUUUAAGCUUUGAAUAUGGUUGUGGAACUACUCGUCUUGCUUGUGUUUGGGGUAAAGUUUAGAAUGACGGGUAGUUGUAUAUGCUAGAUAAGGAACCCUGGCUCACUGAGUGAAACUAGUUCACUCACUCCUCACAUCUUUUUGCAGGUGACCAGUAGAAAGGACCAUAUCCCUCGCGGAACUGUAGGAGCUGGUGUAGAUUGGACAUCUUUUGCUAAAGACACGUUUUCAAGAUAUAUGAAUGUAUGUUUUACUUACGACUGCGUCCAUGGACCCUAUGUAUAAUAUUUUGGGC